CCUACGGGAGGCAGCAGUAAGGAAUAUUGGACAAUGCUCGCAAGAGUGAUCCAGCCAUGCCGCGUGCAGGAAGAAUGCCCUAUGGGUAGUAAACUGCUUUUGAACUAGAGAAAACCCCAGUACGUGUACUGGGCUGAUAGUAUAGUUAGAAUAAGCAUCGGCUAACUUCGUGCCAGCAGCCGCGGUAAGACGAAGGAUGCAAGCGUUAUCCGGAUUCAUUGGGUUUAAAGGGAGCGUAGGUGGACUGAUAAGUCAGUGGUGAAAUCUCCGAGCUUAACUCGGAAAUUGCCAUUGAUACUGUUGGUCUUGAGUACAGUUGCUGUGGGCGGAAUAUGACAUGUAGUGGUGAAAUACAUAGAGAUGUCAUAGAACACCGAUUGCGAAGGCAGCUCACAAAGCUGUAACUGACACUGAGGCUCGAAAGUGCGGGGAUCAAACAGGAUUAGAUACCCUGGUAGUCCGCACCGUAAACGAUGAUUACUCGCUGCUAGGGGGCAACCUUUAGUGGCUUAGCGAAAGCGAUAAGUAAUCCACCUGGGGAGUACGCCGGCACGGUGAAACUCAAAGGAAUUGACGG
RNAcentral lists this ribosomal RNA (577 nucleotides) under uncultured bacterium. Its description in RNAcentral is "bacterial SSU rRNA". It matches the Rfam family "Bacterial small subunit ribosomal RNA", at positions 338 to 916 of the family's 1533-position model. The record is from RNAcentral.